GAUGAACGCUAGCGGGAGGCUUAACACAUGCAAGGUCGAGGGGCAGCAUAGGGUAGCAAUACUCUGAUGGCGACCGGCAAACGGGUGAGUAACGCGUAUGCAACCUACCCUGUACAGGGGGAUAACCCGGAGAAAUUCGGACUAAUAUCCCGUAAUAAUAUCCGGAGGCAUCUUUGGAUAUUUAAAGUUCCGACGGUACGGGAUGGGCAUGCGUAACAUUAGCUGGUUGGUAAGGUAACGGCUUACCAAGGCUAUGAUGUUUAGGGGUCCUGAGAGGGUGGUCCCCCACACUGGUACUGAGACACGGACCAGACUCCUACGGGAGGCAGCAGUGAGGAAUAUUGGUCAAUGGGCGCAAGCCUGAACCAGCCAUCCCGCGUGCAGGAAGAUGGCCCUAUGGGUUGUAAACUGCUUUUCCAGGGAGAGAAACUUACGCACGUGUUGCGUGACUGACGGUACCCUGGGAAUAAGCAUCGGCUAACUCCGUG
RNAcentral lists this ribosomal RNA (488 nucleotides) under uncultured bacterium. Its description in RNAcentral is "bacterial SSU rRNA". It matches the Rfam family "Bacterial small subunit ribosomal RNA", at positions 28 to 507 of the family's 1533-position model. The record is from RNAcentral.